Molecule: ribosomal RNA, 486 nt
Filed under: uncultured bacterium
Lineage: Bacteria
Description: partial 16S ribosomal RNA
Rfam family: Bacterial small subunit ribosomal RNA
Source: RNAcentral
GCGGCGUGCCUAAUACAUGCAAGUCGAGCGAACGGACGAGAAGCUUGCUUCUCUGAUGUUAGCGGCGGACGGGUGAGUAACACGUGGAUAACCUACCUAUAAGACUGGGAUAACUUCGGGAAACCGGAGCUAAUACCGGAUAAUAUUUUGAACCGCAUGGUUCAAAAGUGAAAGACGGUCUUGCUGUCACUUAUAGAUGGAUCCGCGCUGCAUUAGCUAGUUGGUAAGGUAACGGCUUACCAAGGCAACGAUGCAUAGCCGACCUGAGAGGGUGAUCGGCCACACUGGAACUGAGACACGGUCCAGACUCCUACGGGAGGCAGCAGUAGGGAAUCUUCCGCAAUGGGCGAAAGCCUGACGGAGCAACGCCGCGUGAGUGAUGAAGGUCUUCGGAUCGUAAAACUCUGUUAUUAGGGAAGAACAUAUGUGUAAGUAACUGUGCACAUCUUGACGGUACCUAAUCAGAAAGCCACGGCUAACUACGUG